GCGGAUGAUGACUACGGCGGAUUCCCGAAGGGUGAGGAGGACCUUAGGGUCUGACG
RNAcentral lists this unclassified non-coding RNA (56 nucleotides) under Thermococcus thioreducens. RNAcentral describes it as "Small nucleolar RNA sR13". The record is from RNAcentral. Lineage: Archaea; Methanobacteriati; Methanobacteriota; Thermococci; Thermococcales; Thermococcaceae.